AGAGUUUGAUCCUGGCUCAGAACGAACGCUGGCGGCAGGCUUAACACAUGCAAGUCGAACGCAUCCUUCGGGGUGAGUGGCAGACGGGUGAGUAACGCGUGGGAACGUGCCCUUCAGUUCGGAAUAACCCAGGGAAACUUGGGCUAAUACCGGAUACGUGCGAGAGCAGAAAGAUUUAUCGCUGAAGGAUCGGCCCGCGUCUGAUUAGCUAGUUGGUGAGGUAAUGGCUCACCAAGGCGACGAUCAGUAGCUGGUCUGAGAGGAUGAUCAGCCACAUUGGGACUGAGACACGGCCCAAACUCCUACGGGAGGCAGCAGUGGGGAAUAUUGGACAAUGGGCGCAAGCCUGAUCCAGCCAUGCCGCGUGAGUGAUGAAGGCCUUAGGGUUGUAAAGCUCUUUCGUCCGGGACGAUAAUGACGGUACCGGAAGAAGAAGCCCCGGCUAACUUCGUGCCAGCAGCCGCGGUAAUACGAAGGGGGCUAGCGUUGUUCGGAAUCACUGGGCGUAAAGGGCGCGUAGGCGGCUUUGUAAGUCGGGGGUGAAAGCCUGUGGCUCAACCACAGAAUUGCCUUCGAUACUGCAUGGCUUGAGACCGGAAGAGGUUAGUGGAACUGCGAGUGUAGAGGUGAAAUUCGUAGAUAUUCGCAAGAACACCAGUGGCGAAGGCGGCUGACUGGUCCGGUUCUGACGCUGAGGCGCGAAAGCGUGGGGAGCAAACAGGAUUAGAUACCCUGGUAGUCCACGCCGUAAACGAUGAAUGCCAGCCGUUGGCGAGCUUGCUCGUCAGUGGCGCAGCUAACGCUUUAAGCAUUCCGCCUGGGGAGUACGGUCGCAAGAUUAAAACUCAAAGGAAUUGACGG
RNAcentral lists this ribosomal RNA (861 nucleotides) under uncultured Chelatococcus sp. Its description in RNAcentral is "bacterial SSU rRNA". It matches the Rfam family "Bacterial small subunit ribosomal RNA", at positions 8 to 916 of the family's 1533-position model. Lineage: Bacteria; Pseudomonadati; Pseudomonadota; Alphaproteobacteria; Hyphomicrobiales; Chelatococcaceae. The record is from RNAcentral.